This is a long non-coding RNA of Oryzias melastigma (Indian medaka), 1378 nucleotides long. RefSeq lists it as uncharacterized. The record is from RefSeq and is a predicted model, not a curated record. NCBI's taxonomy places the organism in Eukaryota, Metazoa, Chordata, Actinopteri, Beloniformes, Adrianichthyidae. The transcript has 2 exons.
AGCUGCAGCGGAGAAGGCCAGCAGAUGUCCCUGAAUGAACUUCUUGUCAAGGCCUGCGUGCAUCAGAAAGGAGACCAGACCGAAAGCUGCAGGAGCCUGCAGGAGACCAGAAGACGGUUCAAACACCUACUCCAGAUCUGCUGGCUCAGAGGACCUGCUGCAUGGAUGACCAGGCCUAGAGUGGCUGUGAUGUGGGAGCCAUGCCGCCCCGGCCUCGUUUGAUCUGAAAGAAGACGUCAUCUGAACGUUAUUCAUCAGGAACACCUUUGAAGGACGGGAUGAGUUCAACGUACCCCGCGUAGAGAAGUAACCUCCGAUUUGAUCCACAACAAACAUGAAGGUGAACCCAAGCGUUAAAGCUACCCCGAUGUAGAAGCGAGGCGCCGGGCUUUCUUCUGUGGCGGCGCCGUCUGAUUUACUGGCAUUGAGAGCAGAUGGCAGAUCAGAGGAAGAUGCUGGAGAGGGAAGAUGGAGAAGCGUUUGAUCUAAAUCCAGCACCUUUACCUUCUAUUCAAUAUGUAUUUUUUAACUACUUAAGGAUUAAGACUUGGUUUUUAACAUACAUUUUUUAAAUAUUUAUUUUUUGCUUAUUAAAUAAAGUAUAUUCAGUGUAUUUUCGGUUCAGAAGUUUAGAAAUAAUAAAAACAAACAUUUACAUUUCCAUAGUUUCUUUUAUUAUGAUAAUAUAAAGCACUUCACCCGUUGUCAAGGCAACCCAGCAGAAACAGGAUUCUCUCGUUCUUUACCUUUCCAUGAGUCCUCCAGCAGAGCCACACCUUCAGGGAUGGUGAUGGCCAGAGCCGUCCCGCACAGCAGACCGGCCCCCAGUAUGGAGACAAACUGCAGACUUUUCUGUCAGGGUUCACGUGCGAAAAGAAAGCCGCAUUGAUGAGGAGUUACCAGCCUGAUCCACGCGUGACACCGCUGGAGGCGCGUGAAGCUCAGCCGCGCGCCUUUACAGGGGGAAAGUUUGUUGUUGUUGUUGACGGACCGGCACUCACCUCAGAGAGCCUGAACAGAAGCGGGAAGAAUCCGAGCAGGAAGGAGCCCACGAACAUGGCCACGGAGAUGAGGGUGAUGGUCAGACCGCCGUCCAUGGCGCAGACUUCCUCCUGGUUCAGCUCCGCUUCAGGACGGGACUCAUUUUUGAUAUGAGGGCGCGCGUGCGCGUCGCCGCCGUCCUCCCUCCCCGGGUCUAUGUUGAACUCCCUCUGUAUACAGUCUAUGGUCUUUCCACGUCGCAGCUCCGCCGCUCUCUAGUGCGCAGCUGCGGGACCUCCCGCUACAGCACCACCCAGCGGCGGCAAGAGGGAACUGCAGUCUCCGCCUUUGGGUUUCACAGCCAAAAAUAAAAAUAAAAUAAAACAAAAUAAAACAC